CGCAGCCGCGGUAAUUCCAGCUCCAAUAGCGUAUAUUAAAGUUGUUGCAGUUAAAAAGCUCGUAGUUGAAUUUCGGGGUUCUACCGUUGGUCGGGCUAUUGUCUGUACUGGCGUGUAGAAUUUCUACCUUCUGGGGAACUAUCAUGUUAUUAAUUUAGCGUGGUAAGAAACCAGGACCUUUACCUUGAAAAAAUUAGAGUGUUUAAAGCAGGCUUACGUCUGAAUACAUUAGCAUGGAAUAAUAAAAUAGGACGGUGGUCCUGUUUUGUUGGUUUCUGAAUCACCGUAAUGAUUAAUAGGGAUAGUUGGGGGCAUUAGUAUUCAAUUGUCAGAGGUGAAAUUCUUGGAUUUAUUGAAGACUAACUACUGCGAAAGCAUUUGCCAAGGAUGUUUUCAUUAAUCAAGAACGAAAGUUAGGGGAUCGAAGACGAUCAGAUACCGUCGUAGUCUUAACCAUAAACUAUGCCGACUAGGGAUCGGACGAUGUUAACUUUUCUUGACUCGUUCGGCGCCUUACGGG
Molecule: ribosomal RNA, 520 nt
Filed under: uncultured Scutellospora
Lineage: Eukaryota; Fungi; Glomeromycota; Glomeromycetes; Diversisporales; Gigasporaceae
Description: SSU rRNA
Rfam family: Eukaryotic small subunit ribosomal RNA
Source: RNAcentral